AUCCUCCCACAUCAGCCUCCUGAGCAGCUGGGAUUACAGAGAACUGUUAUUGGGGGAUGGCUAAAGACCUCCAACGGGCAUUGCUCACAUUUGUGAGCCUCUUACCUCAGGAGAACGCCCAGUUUGGAGAAAACUCCGGGAGAAUCUUUGGUUUUGAAAGGAACCAUCGUGACCAAGCACCAUCUGAAGAACAGGCAGUCCUGGUCUACCACAGUGCAAAGAAAGGAUCCAGAUGCAGUUUGUCCUCUCCAGCUGCAUAUGAGUGGCGAGGUUUCCCCAAGUGAUGGGGAAAAUGACCAAACCAGGCAGAGGAUCGACUACUCUGUUUUGAUACUCCCUUCCCCACAACAUACACACUUUUGAGUUUAUCGUUCAAAUUCCUAUUUUAAUUCCUGCCAUUUCAUGAACACCUGCGGUCAUACCAAAACUCACUGGCUCUCCCCAGCCCACACAGUGGUAUUCCCCUGGUGAGGAGAAAUGAUUGGCAGGGCAAGGCUCCGUGUUCAUGGAAAAUCCCAAUGGAACACUCCAACACCAAUGCAACGCUUCCGGGUCCAGGAGCUGUUUUGUUUGGAUGAUGGAAUCACAUCAGGAAAUGAACUAUACAGCAUUUCUGAAAAAACUGGGUCCCCAAUUUGAAAAAUCUAUGAUUUCAGUUGCACACAAACCCCUUUCCGAAUGAGGACUGUGAAGACAGGGCCCAAAGUAUCUGCAGACACACAGAAGAUGUCCAGACAGCAACUAGUAACAGAUCUGGGUGCCACUUACUGGGAUCCUGGAGCAGCUGGGCUGCGAUGGAGACCCGGCGCCGCUCACCAGUGGAAAUGCCCCCCAAGUUGUAGUUGCCAAUCAGUCGGUCUGCCACAUGACUCAGACUCAGCUCUGCCAUGAUGGCCUCCACCUGCAGGAGACACAAAUUACAGGAAGGCUAGGCGUGGCUGUGGGUGCUAUUUCAAUUCAUGGGCUGGGGAGGACAUGAAAGAGGCAGCACACCCCCCAAGAAUCCAAGGGCCACUUCCAGACUCACCACACCCUGGAGAAAGCACGUCUUUGAUAAUAAUAUGAUCCAAUUUGACUUAAAUCGUAAUAUAAUACAUGUGUCAGAUUUAAAUAAAUGAUAUGCAUUUUUUAAAAUGUUCCCAGAGGCUGGGUGCAGUGGCUCAUGCCUGUAAUCCCAACACUUUGGAAGGCUGAGGAGGGGAAUUGCUUGAGGACAGGAGUUUGAGACUAGCUUGGGGAACAAAGAGAGACCCUGUUUCUACAAAAAAA
Cercocebus atys (sooty mangabey) is the source of this 1269-nucleotide long non-coding RNA. RefSeq lists it as uncharacterized. The record is from RefSeq and is a predicted model, not a curated record. Lineage: Eukaryota; Metazoa; Chordata; Mammalia; Primates; Cercopithecidae. The transcript has 3 exons.